UUCCUAAUCCCCCUGCAUGUUUGAAUAGCUGGAUCUAACCAUGCCAGGGGCGCUGGGAGGU
Molecule: microRNA precursor, 61 nt
Filed under: Monodelphis domestica (gray short-tailed opossum)
Lineage: Eukaryota; Metazoa; Chordata; Mammalia; Didelphimorphia; Didelphidae
Description: microRNA mdo-mir-7301 precursor
Source: miRBase by way of RNAcentral